GUGAGGACUGAGGAGUAACCGAACAGCAAUAUCUGUUAGGGUUUCGCAAAUCGUGGAUCGUGAAACUCGUGUCUGGCGAGUGGCUGCAGAUGAAGAAGAGGAAACGACUGUAUUUCAAGCGUUCCGCUUCCGAAGGUUAAAGGAACCGACUAUAAAACCCCUGCCCUGAUGGCACUUGUGUCCAGGACUAAUAAUAUUGAUGACAAAGCUCUCCAGAAUGCAGUUCCUAGCAAAGUUGGAAUCUACAAUGUGUACACUGGAAAAGGUAGAUCAGUAAAGGAGUUUUUGGAGGCAUGUAAGAAGCAACUGAAGUAGAUAGCAUGUUAACAUUCCUCAAUGGAUAAAUGUUGCAGGAAUGUCCCAAGAGAUGUAACAUCAUUGUACAAACUAGAGAACAAAACAUUCAA
Tripterygium wilfordii is the source of this 407-nucleotide long non-coding RNA. RefSeq lists it as uncharacterized. Lineage: Eukaryota; Viridiplantae; Streptophyta; Magnoliopsida; Celastrales; Celastraceae. The record is from RefSeq and is a predicted model, not a curated record. The transcript has 3 exons.